Molecule: long non-coding RNA, 493 nt
Filed under: Dromaius novaehollandiae (emu)
Lineage: Eukaryota; Metazoa; Chordata; Aves; Casuariiformes; Dromaiidae
Description: lncRNA (ENSDNVG00000014045.1)
Source: RNAcentral
CCUCGCCUCUGCUCUCUCCUUGCUGGCAGAAGCAGUCCYGGGCACGGUGGGUUUUAUUUGAGGGUGGAUAUUUUUUUACCAGAGGAAGAAGGGACAUUUCCUUUGCUCACUAGCACUGAAGGAAAGUGCCUGCUCCUGACCUUGCUGCAGGUGCCUGUUGAAGCUUCUUUGUGUCUGUUUCUAACUUUUGCACAGGUCUUAGGAAAGCAAAUAAAAGAAAURUUGAAAAUCUGGAAUUUCAGUCCCCCAGUGAACUGCCCUGGAGUCCAUCUACUGAGGUAUUAUGUGACCAGGAGCCACAGCUAGUUCUUCAUCCAGACUUGAAGGCUACUGGAAGCCUGAAGGUGACUGGACCCCAGGUGAGGAGCCGCUAUCCACUGCCAUCGUGGGACCGGCUGUCCCAGGACCUGUACACGGACAACAGCAUCCAAGAAGCCUUUGAUCAGCUGCGGGCUUUGCUGGAGGAACCCCCUCUCUCGCAGCAGCAUCCUGC